This 229-nucleotide ribosomal RNA is filed under the name uncultured bacterium. RNAcentral's name for it is "partial 16S ribosomal RNA". It matches the Rfam family "Bacterial small subunit ribosomal RNA", at positions 568 to 796 of the family's 1533-position model. The record is from RNAcentral.
UGCGUAGGCGGUUAGAUAAGUCAGAGGUGAGAGCCCGCAGCUCAACUGUGGAAUUGCCUUUGAUACUGUUUGACUUGAAUCAAGUUGAGGUUGGCGGAAUGUGACAUGUAGCGGUGAAAUGCAUAGAUAUGUCAUAGAACACCAAUUGCGAAGGCAGCUAACUAGACUUGUAUUGACGCUGAGGCACGAAAGCGUGGGGAGCGAACAGGAUUAGAUACCCUGGUAGUCC